Molecule: ribosomal RNA, 497 nt
Filed under: uncultured bacterium
Lineage: Bacteria
Description: partial 16S ribosomal RNA
Rfam family: Bacterial small subunit ribosomal RNA
Source: RNAcentral
GAUGAACGCUGGCGGCGUGCCUAAUACAUGCAAGUCGAGCGAACAGACGAGGAGCUUGCUCCUCUGACGUUAGCGGCGGACGGGUGAGUAACACGUGGAUAACCUACCUAUAAGACUGGGAUAACUUCGGGAAACCGGAGCUAAUACCGGAUAAUAUAUUGAACCGCAUGGUUCAAUAGUGAAAGACGGUUUUGCUGUCACUUAUAGAUGGAUCCGCGCCGCCUUAGCUAGUUGGUAAGGUAACGGCUUACCAAGGCGACGAUGCGUAGCCGACCUGAGAGGGUGAUCGGCCACACUGGAACUGAGACACGGUCCAGACUCCUACGGGAGGCAGCAGUAGGGAAUCUUCCGCAAUGGGCGAAAGCCUGACGGAGCAACGCCGCGUGAGUGAUGAAGGUCUUCGGAUCGUAAAACUCUGUUAUUAGGGAAGAACAAAUGUGUAAGUAACUAUGCACGUCUUGACGGUACCUAAUCAGAAAGCCACGGCUAACUACGUG